UUUCAUUCCUGCUCUCAUUCCGAGCAUUCUUCGCAUCUCUAUCGGUGCGGCGGAGAUUCCCGUUCACAUUCCGGCCGGCCCCAAAACACAAGAAUAACUUUACACAGUUUGCAAAAAAACUAUACAAACCCACACUAGAACAAAACAAAGGGGCCGAACUUAAAUUUUGAUAUAAAUAAAGCGGACGUUAAGUUGGCUACGCUGCACAUUUCGGAGCGCCGCACAAAUAUAGCGCGGAGAGACUUGUUGCUCGCGUAUCUUUGGCGUUUAUUCACCAGCUUCUGGUCGGAUCUUAACCGUAAGUACACAUUUGACUUUUUUCUUCUCUUUCAUUAUCUGACUUGCGUCAACUCUCGGCAUCUUUAUUCACUUGUUUUACAGUGUUGGUUUAAUCUUUGGCUGUGCCAUAAACACUUCACAUCCUUUAGCCUAUUUGUGUGGUUUAUUUUAAAAACAGCGACUUGUUUAGUCAUAACUUUAAAGACUCCUUUACUCUAGAGAAACUUUAGCUUGCUGAGCUUAUGCAAUUGUAAAAAGUAACUCAUUUGUCUGUUCAACGCAUUUAUGUUUUAAUCCCACAAGUUGUUGACAUUGCUUUUAGUGUAUUAGCCUGUUUCGGAAAGAUUACAUGGGAGAAUCUGGCUGCUAUUCCUCUGUCAUUUCCUUUGUUGGGAUUGCCCGCCCUGUUUCUGCAGGACUAAUGUCGUGCCUCGGCGUGUUGCAUUUAGGGUUUAUAAACAGUAAUAGCAUUUCAAAUGCUGCGUGUCACUUACAGUAUGUGUUUUAAAUCCUGAAACGCUGUUUCAUCACUAGGAAUGAAACUAUGAAGGACGGUAACAGCGGGACGGGACGUAGCUUAGCUUAGCACUUCAUCAGUGACUAGCUUUACAACUCCACUAACUAUCCAGGCUUUUACAUAAUCGCACACUAUUCAGUAUUAUUAUAUAAUGGUUUACGUUUUUAAACAUGGCAUUGUCAUUUUGAGAAUGAAUUAUUCAACUAUGAAAUCAAUCAUCUGCACCUCCAGCUGCUUAAAACCUUCACUUUUUAAUAUCAAACUGCUUUUGUAUAAUCAAUUGACUCAUACCUUAUAACACAUCACAGGUAUUACUAUUGUAAUACAAUUAUAUCUUGAUAUUAGUCACAUAUUUCUUCAACUUGAUUACAUUACGGCCCCAUAAUAGUUCAUUACAGUUUAACAAUGGAAGCCAUGAAAACACAGCUGGAAAAAUUCAAGUUAAUUUAAUUCUUUUUUAUUUCUAUAGCGCUUUUACAAUGUAGAUUGUGUCAAAGCAGCUUCACAUAGACGAUUAUAGUAAAUUGAAACAGUGUCAG
This 1335-nucleotide long non-coding RNA is filed under the name Danio rerio (zebrafish). Its description in RNAcentral is "lncRNA si:ch73-267i21.1 (ENSDARG00000097673.3)". Lineage: Eukaryota; Metazoa; Chordata; Actinopteri; Cypriniformes; Danionidae. The record is from RNAcentral.